GUGAGUCAUCGAAUCUUUGAACGCACAUUGCGCCCGCCAGUAUUCUGGCGGGCAUGCCUGUUCGAGCGUCAUUUCAACCUUCAAGCCCUGCUUGUGUUGGGGUCCUGCGGCUGCCCGCAGGCCCUGAAAACCAGUGGCGGGCUCGCUAGUCACACCGAGCGCAGUAGCACAUCUCGCUCAGGGCGUGCGGCGGGUUCUUGCCGUUAAACACCCCCCUUUCCACAGGUUGACCUCGGAUCAGGUAGGAAUACCCGCUGAACUUAAGCAUAUCAAUAAGCGGAGGA
Molecule: unclassified non-coding RNA, 284 nt
Filed under: Zopfiella sp.
Lineage: Eukaryota; Fungi; Ascomycota; Sordariomycetes; Sordariales; Chaetomiaceae
Description: partial contains 5.8S ribosomal RNA, internal transcribed spacer 2, and large subunit ribosomal RNA
Rfam family: 5.8S ribosomal RNA (bases 1-71)
Source: RNAcentral